RNAcentral lists this ribosomal RNA (434 nucleotides) under uncultured bacterium. RNAcentral's name for it is "partial 16S ribosomal RNA". It matches the Rfam family "Bacterial small subunit ribosomal RNA", at positions 29 to 507 of the family's 1533-position model. The record is from RNAcentral.
AGCGAACGCUGGCGGCAGGCCUAACACAUGCAAGUCGAACGAACCUUUCGGGGUUAGUGGCGGACGGAUGAGUAACACGUGGGAACGUGCCUUUAGGUUCGGAAUAACUCAGGGAAACUUGUGCUAAUACCGAAUGUGCCCUUCGGGGGAAAGAUUAAUCGCCUUUAGAGCGGCCCGCGUCUGAUUAGCUAGUUGGUUGAGGUAAUGGCUCACCAAGGCGACGAUCAGUAGCUGGUCUGAGAGGAUGAUCAGCCACAUUGGGACUGAGACACGGCCCAAACUCCUACGGGAGGCAGCAGUGGGGAAUCUUGCGCAAUGGGCGAAAGCCUGACGCAGCCAUGCCGCGUGAAUGAUGAAGGUCUUAGGAUUGUAAAAUUCUUUCACCGGGGACGAUAAUGACGGUACCCGGAGAAGAAGCCCCGGCUAACUUCGUG